RNAcentral lists this transfer RNA (77 nucleotides) under uncultured Alphaproteobacteria bacterium. Its description in RNAcentral is "tRNA-Arg". It matches the Rfam family "tRNA". Rfam says of the family: Transfer RNA (tRNA) molecules are approximately 80 nucleotides in length. Their secondary structure includes four short double-helical elements and three loops (D, anti-codon, and T loops). Further hydrogen bonds mediate the characteristic L-shaped molecular structure. tRNAs have two regions of fundamental functional importance: the anti-codon, which is responsible for specific mRNA codon recognition, and the 3' end, to which the tRNAs corresponding amino acid is attached (by aminoacyl-tRNA synthetases). tRNAs cope with the degeneracy of the genetic code in two manners: having more than one tRNA (with a specific anti-codon) for a particular amino acid; and 'wobble' base-pairing, i.e. permitting non-standard base-pairing at the 3rd anti-codon position. Lineage: Bacteria; Pseudomonadati; Pseudomonadota; Alphaproteobacteria. The record is from RNAcentral.
GUCCCCGUAGCUCAGCAGGAUAGAGCAUCGGAUUCCUAAUCCGGGGGUCGCACGUUCGAAUCGUGUCGGGGACGCCA